UAGGGAAUCUUCNUGCGAUGGGGGCAACCCUGACCGAGCAACGCCGCGUGAGUGAAGAAGGUUUUCGGAUCGUAAAGCUCUGUUGUAAGUCAAGAACGAGUGUGAGAGUGGAAAGUUCACACUGUGACGGUAUCUUACCAGAAAGGGACGGCUAACUACGUGCCAGCAGCCGCGGUAAUACGUAGGUCCCGAGCGUUGUCCGGAUUUAUUGGGCGUAAAGCGAGCGCAGGCGGUUAGAUAAGUCUGAAGUUAAAGGCUGUGGCUUAACCAUAGUACGCUUUGGAAACUGUUUAACUUGAGUGCAAGAGGGGAGAGUGGAAUUCCAUGUGUAGCGGCGAAAUGCGUAGAUAUAUGGAGGAACACCGGUGGCGAAAGCGGCUCUCUGGCUUGUAACUGACGCUGAGGCUCGAAAGCGUGGGGAGCAAACAGGAUUAGAUACCCUGGUAGUCCACGCCGUAAACGAUGAGUGCUAGGUGUUAGACCCUUUCCGGGGUUUAGUGCCGCAGCUAACGCAUUAAGCACUCCGCCUGGGGAGUACGACCGCAAGGUUG
RNAcentral lists this ribosomal RNA (551 nucleotides) under uncultured bacterium. RNAcentral describes it as "bacterial SSU rRNA". It matches the Rfam family "Bacterial small subunit ribosomal RNA", at positions 355 to 896 of the family's 1533-position model. The record is from RNAcentral.